GGUCUCAAACUCCUAAACUCAAGCGAUCCACCCCCGCCUGGGCCUCCCAAAGUGCUGGGAUUACAGGUGUGAGUUGCCCCACCCAGCCGUGAUUAAUUUGGGCUUUCAACACCCUAAAAUGGGAGAAGGUGGUAGCAUAGAGUGUGUAUGACUGAUUGUAUUUACAUUUGUUGCAAUUUGAAGAAAUGUAGUUAGAAGUCCAUCUGCAGAGAGAUUAUGACCAUCGCUUCUGUCUGACCAAGGUCUGUUUUCCUGAUCGGUUGGAUGCCUCAGCGUGCAUUCCCAGGACUUUAUGAGAUGAUCCACUGAAGGAUUUCAGCAAGAACAUUCUGGAGUGUCAACUGAUACGUUUUUCAGUCUCAGCUUGCUCACUGUUUGAGUAGUGUCACAUGUACAUGCGUGUUAUUAGAGGCGAAUGCACGUUUUUGUUACUGAGAGAGUGGCCCUAGAGCAGAUGCCAGCGAACUGCAGCCCACAGCCCGAAUCUAGCCUGCCGCCUCUUUUCAUGUGGCUCACAAGCUAGUCAUAGUAUUAUAUUUUAAUAGUGUGGGAAAACAUCAGAAGAAGAACAAUAUUUUGUGGAACAUGAAAAUUAUAUGUUUACAUUUUAGCAUCCAUAAACGUGGUUUCAUUAGAACACACUUCUAUGGUUUGAAUGUCCUCUCCAAAACUCAUGUUGAAACUUAGUCUCUAACGUCACUAUAUUAAGAGAUAGGGCCUUUAAGAAGUGAUGGGGGCAUGGGAACUCUGCCCUCAUGAAUGGAUUAAUCUAUUCAUGGAUUAAUGGAUUAAUGCAUUAAUGGAUUGGUGGUUUAUCAUCGCAAGGAAACUGGCAGUUUUGUAAGAAGAGGAAGGGAGACAGUGGCAGGGAAACUGGCGGCUUUGUAGCAAGAGGAAGUGAGACUUGAGUCCUCUCACCACAGGUUGCCCUGCACCAACCACCACAGGACUCUGUAGAGAGUCCUGGCUAGCAAGAGGAUCUUCACCAGAUGUGGCCUCUUGACCUGAGACUUCUCAGCCUCCAUAACUGUUAAGUUUCCUGGAGAAUUCUGAAGGAUAUGCCCCCUUCCUCUCCUACAGCUCAGAGUUGUUCUGUGCACUUGGAUCAGCCUCCACAACUUCCCCCCGGGACAGGGCACCCAUCACCAUCUCCUACCUGGACAGCAGCAAACACUGCCCCCGUGACUUCCUGGUGCCAUCCUUGGCUCCAUUACGUCCAUUCUCCAGUGGCUGGCAGAGUGAGCUUGAAGAACGUGUGACAUGCCCUUCAGAAUGUUCUACUUCCUGUUCCAGAAGGACAGCCCCUCAUGCCUUCCCGCGGGCCACACGCCACCUCUUCCUCAGUGCCCCAGCCUGGCAUCCUCUUCCUGCAUUCAGCCUUCUUUUCCGAGGUGUCAUCUUGCUGGAGGGCAGAAGGAUUCCCUGGAACCUGGGGGCCAGCAGGACAGAGGAAACAGAAAGUACAUGACCGAUGAUGUCUUUCGACCACAGAAAGGGCUGGAAGAAGCAGGGGACCUACUGUUUGAAUAAACCCAGUGGAAAAACAGAAGCCCCAUUUCAUACUUGACUCAGCUCUUCAAGUUUAAAUCUUGAAUCUCCUCAACUACACGGAACAGUGUCUCUCCCAAGUCAUCUGACACCCACUCUGUUCUCUGGAUCAUUCCUUCCUAGAGAACGUUGCUCUUGGAGGGCUGUGAUCUGCUCUCACCCACUUGCCUUUCUGACCCACUGAGUGCAUCUCAACAGUCACUUGGGGUGAUCCGAUCUGACCAGGAAGGGUUGGGUGGCUCGUGGAGCUUGGGAAGCACUCUCACUGUGGCGGUCCCCAUUGGUGGUCAUGGGGUUGCCACAGUGAGCUACGUUUCUACCCUCAUCUCUCUAUAUGUUACCGUGGAAUCUCUGACUGAGGACCCAUGGGCUCACCCAAUGUGAUAAAGUCCUGAAGCUCAGCCGGGACGUCCGACCCCAGCUGCAGGACUUUCCAAUAGACAGAUGCAUAGAACUUGAGAAGAAAUCGACUUAGAAACCUGAAGUUGGAAAACUGGUUGCCUGACAUUCUGUGCAAGACUGAAUCUCUGAGAAAUGAAGGCUGUGUAACUUUGGGACCAUGUCUUUUCCAGCCUACAUAGACCCCCAGGAAACUUUGCAGUUGUUCCCCAAGUAUGGAUGGAGUCAAACUUGAUGUCCUUUCAUCCCCCCAUCCCAUCCACUAAUCCAUAUCCUUUGGAAAUUUUAGAGUGCCGGGCCUCAUGUAAAUACACCAAAAACAAUUUAAGUCAUUUAUGUUCUACUAAGCCAAGAGUUCUUUAGCGGUGGAAGAAGAUGGGGUCUUACACGAAUGGAAGGGUCUUGGCUAUUUGCGUCGGUAUCAACAGAAGGACUAGACGCUUGCACUAAAAGAAAAAGCUGAGGGAUGGGGGCAGGAAGCGGGAAGCUGGGACCCAAGCCCCACCUUCCUGAGUUGGAAGGUGACAGGUAGACUCCUGCUUGUUUGCCAGAGAGGCCUGGCAGAGGAGGUGCAUCCCAGCACAGAAGGGCAGCACAGAGGCAGCCUGAGAAGAUUCUGUCGCUGCCAGGUCACCAGGACCUCUGGACCACAGCUGGGUUGCGCUGUUUUCCAGUUUGUGAAACUAGGACUUUGGGGAACAUCCUGUGAAUUGGUGUCAUUUUGAUUUUCCUGGAGGAUUUUUGAGGUCAGCGUGACUGCUGUCACUAACUAAAAUAAAAUCCGAAGUCCCCAAGUGACUGAACAGACCCCCUCUUGGCCAAGGGGACCCCAGAGAAACCUGAAAGCUGAGCUCCCAGCCAUGAGGGGACGGGCGAUCGGACACGCUUCAUCACAGUCCCUCCCCUUUGUGGUUUAAACGACGAUGAUCGGCUGUCAUGCUAAAAUAGAGACACGAGACCGACAGCACAGACUCCUUAUGGCAAUAAGACACCAAAUUAUAAGCAGCACCUCAGGCCACGCCAGCUAAACACGCACCGGCCCCGAGAUUCAAACGACUGCAGCUCAUCCACCUGCAGACGCUGGCUGACCCCGUUCCACAGCUGUGACUAUAGCUUUGAUUGGACAAGAGGUUGAUUUCAGUCUCCUGGUAAGAGACCACCAACCAUAGACCUGGUUCAGGCUGAUUAUAGAAGCUGCACACUUGUAUGCCUUCGAGUCCCUGCCUCACCUUUUGACGUGUAGGGACUCAUUGUAAUGCUUUUAAAUGUGAAGCCUCCACCCCAAAGUGAACAUGGGACGCAUGUAACGUGCAUGUUCAGUGGGCACGGCUCAGGACUCUCUUUGUGAAUAUUCAUAGCUCCUCCUGGAACCUGAAUAUGUAUGUUUGGCCAGCUCAAUUCAGCAUGAGGCUCCUGCUGCAACACCGCCUCCUUCCAGGUGCCUGCCAGCUGUUUCUGCCAGAGGCUGCGUCUCCCGGCCUGUCAGAAUGGCCACCCUGCAGGCUGUAAUCCUUUAGAAGAAAUAAAGAUCCCCUUUCCAGAUGUAUAGAUCUUGUGAUUUUUUUCCAUUCACAUCCUUGCAUCUUAUAAUGCCCUGUCUCCAUGGGGGUUACAUAGAAAGCCCUCAGCCUCUAGGGCAGAUGGAGCCAGGACUGAGGGUGGGGGUGGAGAAGGAUCAGGAGACUCACUUCAAGGACUUUCUGGUGCCGGCAGUGUAGGCUUGCCAGAUGAAAUACAGGACACCCAGCAACAUGAACUUUCGUAAUUUUUAUAGUGUAAAUGUGUUCCAAAUAUUGCAUGGGACAUGCUUAUCCUGAAGAAUUAUUCAUUGUUUAUCUGAAAUCCAAAUUUAACUAGGUGUCCUGUAUUUUUAUUUGCUAAAUCUGGUGACCCUUCACUGGGGAGACGCUUUUAAACAGCCUCAACUUAGAAAUUCUUCUCUUCCUGCCAAAAGCGCUAGGGUCUGUAUAUGGGUGCAUGGAAACACGAAAUUAUUGUCACAGGACUGAAGAGUAUGAAAGACUUCUAGUAACCACCAGCUGUGGCAGGGGCCUGUGCAGGGGGUACCCUGGCAGGGAGGAAGCUGCCUUAAUUUUCAACCUCGGACAGAAAAGCGCAUCUGUUAGACACAGCAGAAAGCAGACCUACAUGUAUGGUUAAUAAGGACUAUGUAUUUGACUGCUGUGGGUUCAAUUGUGUCCCUGCGAGAGACACAUUGAAGUCCUAACCCCUGCUGCUUCAGCAUUUGGCUUUAUUUGGAAAUAAGGUCACUGCCAGUGCAGUUAGCUGAGAUGAAAUCAUACUGGUGUCUGGUGGGCCCUUAUUCCAAUAUGACUCGUGAUAUCACAAGAAGAGGAGGACAGACACAGAGACACACUCCAGAGGGAGAAGGCCAUGUGACAGCCACGGACUGCUGGAAGCAGCGGAAUCUAAAGGCAAGGCAGGGAACAGAUUCUCCCUCCCAGUCCUUCGAGAGAACCAACUCUGCCGACAGCUUGAUUUCAGAAUUCUGGUUUCCAGAACGGUGAGAGAAUAAAUUCCUGUUGUUUUAAGCCUCCCGUUUGUGGUGCUUUGUUAUGGCAGCCCCAGGGACUAAUGCAGUCACCGUCACUUGAUUGCAGACAAAACGACUGAGGGUUCUCUGCAAUGAAUUUCAAGUUCUGAAUUGAAAGAGGCUUCAGAGCCUGAAGAAAGAGGCGAUGCCAGCACUCUCUGGAGUGGGAUCCACAGAAGCAGAGAAAGCCCAGGGGAUGAGCCAACCCAGAAUCCAAACGCCCGUGGAUCGGGCCAGACCCAGGACGGCGCUAUCUUGCACACCCAUCACAGGCUUGGGGACACUAGAACUGCACUGUCAGAUAUUCCUGACUUCAUGUGUGUGUGUUUGUGUGUGUGUAGAUCAGGCCAUAUGAUUUACUUGCUGCACUCUGAGCGAUGCUGUGUAGAUAAAGCUAUAUUAUCUAUUUGCUACACUCUGAAUAAUGCCUUCCUCAGUGAUAAUCAUAAUCAAGUGAGCUUUGGAUUGUCAUUAUGAAGUCUCAAAUUAAAACAAUUGGUUGAGAUACUGCCAGCAAGGCAACUAGAUCGGGGAUUGCAGCUGCUGAUGCCAGUCUAGUAUUUAGGUAAGAGGAUGCCUCCACCCUCUUAGAGCAUGUGGCUUGCACAUCCAUUCUUUCAGUGCAGGAAGGGCUGGAGUGUCCACUCCCUACUCCCAACCCCAUCAGUUGUUGUAUGGUCCAAAAUGCAAAGUAAUUUUAAUGUGAUCCAAGAUGCAUAUAAAAACAUUUUAAAAACAGAUAUGUUAUGCAUUGCUUAGAAUGAUGCACCAUCCGCUUCAUGAACAAGCAAGAACUAACUCUAUCAUUGACUUCAUCCACAAAUACUAGAGGUGAUGAACUUGAGGUCAAAGUUCCGAAGUCAGACAGCAUGGGUUUAUUCAUCGCCUGCUAUGUGCAAAUCCUAGAUGUCACCAGGCUCUGCUCACUUGGUGUCUUGGCCACUCUGGGUGAUGUUUACACAAGGCUUGGUGGCUUUGAGAUGGGUUGCAAACAAGAGAUAUCAGUUGUUGGACUUUUGCUUAUAGCUUGGGGUUGGACAUCCUCUAUCCCUCGAUACCUCCUUGCACCCAUCAGCCGUUAUCUUUGAAGGAAACUUUUUCCUUGAGUCUGGUUCCUUGUCUUCAGGUUCUAACCUCAUGGUUUUGGAUCCUUGUCCCUAUGGUUGUGAUCCUUCCUGUCCUUGGCUCUAGUGCUCUUUUUUUUUUUUUUUUCUAUUUCUUUCCUCUACCUGUGCACAUGACCUCUUUGAAGAGCUCACCUCCUCCAGGAAGCCUCCCUGGAAUCACCCUUUUGCCUUCCAUUCUCCUUGUUUAUACAGUCCAUGUCAGUAUAUCCAAAUUGAAUUAUCGCGGUGUGCUGCUUUGCAAUGUGUAUCUGAUUUCACCAAAACCCUCUACUGUCUCUAAUCCCGGGUAUCCAAUUUCAUGUGAAGUUCAGUGAUGUGCUCCUCCCUCCUCCUCUUGCACGCAUGAGCAGGUACUCAACACUUUCUGGUCCAGCUACAUGUGACAUGAGGCCACUCACGCUCUUUUUAAUUAACCCUUAUGACAAUCAUGUGCGUUAUGGAGAAAAUUAAUGGAGGAAAAAUUACAGAGUCACCCGAAACAGUUGCGCUGCUUAUCACCCGGUGUUUGAGCCUGUUUCCCCUGUAAUUAGAUUACAUGUGAGGCAGCCCCAGCUAAUUGUCUGUGCCACCCACCGGGGAACUCCAGCUCUAUCUGUGAACACCCAGGCCUUCCCGCCGCAGGACAGAUGUUGGGUGAGGCUUGCCUCCCACGCAAACAUCUGCUCUGUUGUUCCGAGUCAGUCACGAGAGCCAGCCGGCUUAGACAAGCAGGGGAUGAAUUCCUGGGCGAGAUGCUUGAUCCUGCCAAGUUUCUGAGCACCAGGCUUGGGCCUCUUGAACAGUUCCCUGCAUCUUCCAUGAUCGGCCAGUGCCUCUGCUUCUGCAUUUAGAAACCAGAGUUCACUUCUGGUGGCCUCAAGCCAAAAUGAGUCUACGAACCAGAAGUCUCUUGACAUUGACACUGAUAAACUUUGAUAUGGAAGCAUUUUUGUUUUUGGCAACCAUCAAUUUUUUUUUGUUUUUCCUCAAACACAUGCAUGGAUGAUGUGAGAACCGGUACCUGGAAACUGAGAGACUGCCGCAUGUGUUUCGGGCUCCCAGCUCUAUCCAUAACUGUCUUUGGGGGCUUCCUAGGCAACCUGG
This 6711-nucleotide long non-coding RNA is filed under the name Homo sapiens (human). Its description in RNAcentral is "HSALNT0404195". The record is from RNAcentral. Lineage: Eukaryota; Metazoa; Chordata; Mammalia; Primates; Hominidae.